Long non-coding RNA from Carassius carassius (crucian carp), 888 nucleotides. RefSeq lists it as uncharacterized. The record is from RefSeq and is a predicted model, not a curated record. Lineage: Eukaryota; Metazoa; Chordata; Actinopteri; Cypriniformes; Cyprinidae. The transcript is spliced from 3 exons.
CCGAGGGCAAUGAUUGAGAAGCAGUUUGACCAAUGGCGUGCGUGAAGGCGGGACUUAACAAGAAAGGUCAAAACAGUGCAGAAACGCACACCAAAAAAUGUCUACCAUAGAAAGCAAAACGGCAAAUUUCCUGCGACAUUGUGAGGUAAUCAUACUGGUGCACCCUUGGCCUUGUCAGUGGGUGAGGUCACAUCACUAAACUGUCUGAAGAAGUAAGGUGUCGUGGACCAUCAUAAAAUUUGCAUCAACAUGGAGAUUGAAUUGGAGACCAUUGUUCUGUUCGAAGUGUAGUUUGUGGAAGAUGCAAUGAGGAAAUUAAUUUGAAUUGUCAAUGUUGUAUUUUAAGCAUAUAAGCAAUGUUUAGAUGAUGGUACUGUAGCACUGUUUAAAGUUUUUAAUAUUGUUGUUAUUUACAAUGGAAACUACUGUAACAGAUUAAAAUAAAGAGGGAAAAAUACAACUGAUUUUCUCUAAUGACUUUUUGUGUGAGAUAUAACAUACAUUUCAUGAACUACAUAUAAAAUUAUCUGUAAGCCAUAAUCAAAAUCAAAAUGCUGUACAUGCCUUUCAAAAUUAUGGUCCAUCACAGUUCAUUUUUUCAAAUAACGGUCAACACAUGUCAUUUCAAUUUAGUCAAACUCUGUUAAAUAAUGAUUAAAACAUGAUUUUAGUUUCCAGUCAAAACAUGCUUUAUGAAGUAAUUGUAUCAACGUAAUUUAUAUCUACAUUCAAAUCAUGUUAAGUUAAACAACUGUUACACCAUGUUUUUAUAUUUACAGUUAAAACAUGUUUUAUUAAAUAAGGGUUUAAACAUGUUACGUGAACUUACAGUCAAAUAAUGUCAUUACAUUUAAUGGUCUAUGCAUGUAUUUGCAAUUAUACAGACAA